UCUGGGCAGCCCUCCCCUCCCAUGCCAGUAUGGCUCAGGCCUUCAGUUUGCAAGCUAGUAUCAACUGGGACAGACGCAUCUCUGGCCUCAAAUUCCUUGGCGGUGUUUGCCUUCGUGACGCGCUUUACUGUAUUAUUGUUAUGUGUGGUGGCCAGGAGUUACUGAUCAGUACUGGGGCUGCAUGUGCUUAAGGGCUUCUUUUCCUAAGCGCCAUGGAGAACAAGGUUAACGACCGUGGAGGUCAUUAACGGUCAGCACAGUGUGGCUCGUCUGGUGGCGGGAAUUCUGUUAGCCAAUCAGAAUCACCGGGCGAGGCAAUGAGUACUGGUCGGAGCAUGAACUGAACAGUACUCUACUCACUCCCAUUCGGUCGACAUGCCGUCGUCGUGUGUGUAUGUGACCAGUUGGCCCCAGCUGUGACAGCGUGUUCCACAUCUCCAGCGACACGGACCUUAGGACGUAGUGGCAUGGUCGACUCCGUAUGAUGUUUUCGAAAUCUACCGCUGUUCUGGAUUAUUCGACCCACUCCGCAAAGUAGAUGGUCUUUAGAGUUGAAUCGACUGAAGAGUGGCGGCCAUCUCAUUGGCAUAUACAUAAGGUUUUAGUAUAUAUAUUACUGUACAUAAUAGUAUCAUCUCUUUAACUGUACGUAUAAUGUACCCCGUGUUUCAGUGAUAUAGCUGAAUAUAUCCAUUAGUCGUC
Procambarus clarkii (red swamp crayfish) is the source of this 702-nucleotide long non-coding RNA. RefSeq lists it as uncharacterized. Lineage: Eukaryota; Metazoa; Arthropoda; Malacostraca; Decapoda; Cambaridae. The record is from RefSeq and is a predicted model, not a curated record.